Molecule: long non-coding RNA, 364 nt
Organism: Enhydra lutris kenyoni (northern sea otter)
Lineage: Eukaryota; Metazoa; Chordata; Mammalia; Carnivora; Mustelidae
Exons: 3
Source: RefSeq, a predicted model, not a curated record
GGAGUGACUCACUGUGGUAAUUGUUACAAACGCAGUUUAUUGCUGGGCUUGGUCAGGCAGCUUCUGAUGAUCAGGUGUGUUUUGCAUCCCGCUUAGGCACCAAACUGGACUAGAAUGGAGUUUCUUCUGAAAUGCAGACGCUACUGUGCCACCAAGUUCCUCCUACAAGUAUCUGAAAUUAUUUCCCAGGAAUAUCACUGCCUGAUUUUUCUAGGUGAGGAAGCUAAAGCCCUGAGACCUUUACAGAGCUGGGACAUGCACUGGGGCCUCUGAGUUCUAACAUCGAUGAGCUUCACUGCUGUACCCUCCUGCCUGCAGCAGAUUCUGGAACUGUGAGUGAACGAUCACCAAGCUUAGAGGCCUA